RNAcentral lists this unclassified non-coding RNA (338 nucleotides) under soil metagenome. RNAcentral's name for it is "partial contains 5.8S ribosomal RNA, internal transcribed spacer 2, and large subunit ribosomal RNA". The stretch from base 2 to 121 matches the Rfam family "5.8S ribosomal RNA", at positions 35 to 154 of the family's 154-position model. The record is from RNAcentral.
AGAUGAAGAACGUAGUGAAAUGCGAUAAGUAAUGUGAAUUGCAGAAUUCAGUGAAUCAUCGAAUCUUUGAACGCACAUUGCGCCCGCCAGUAUUCUGGCGGGCAUGCCUGUUCGAGCGUCAUUUCAACCAUCAAGCCCCCGGGCUUGUGUUGGGGACCUGCGGCUGCCGCAGGCCCUGAAAAGCAGUGGCGGGCUCGCUGUCACACCGAGCGUAGUAGAUUUUAUCUCGCUCUGGGCGUGCUGCGGGUUCCAGCCGUUAAACCACCCUUUUAACCCAAGGUUGACCUCGGAUCAGGUAGGAAGACCCGCUGAACUUAAGCAUAUCAAUAAGCGGAGGA